AAGUCGUAACAAGGUUUCCGUAGGUGAACCUGCGGAAGGAUCAUUAAUGAAAUGAAUGUAGAGUCGGUUGUAGCUGGGUCUUUUAAUCGAGGCCAUGUGCACACCUUCUCUUUCAUCCACUCACACCUGUGCACCUGUUUAGACGGUUGAAGGAAAAAGUCUUUCUCGCGAGAGAGAGGGCCGGCUCCUUUUCCCGUCCAAUACAUAAAAUCUUAUAUAUUUAAUCAGAAUGUAAUCGAUGUAAACGCAUCUAUAAACUAAGUUUCAACAACGGAUCUCUUGGCUCUC
This 288-nucleotide unclassified non-coding RNA is filed under the name fungal sp. RNAcentral's name for it is "partial internal transcribed spacer region". The stretch from base 1 to 46 matches the Rfam family "Eukaryotic small subunit ribosomal RNA", at positions 1786 to 1831 of the family's 1831-position model. The record is from RNAcentral. Lineage: Eukaryota; Fungi.